CCUACGGGUGGCAGCAGUGGGGAAUAUUGGGCAAUGGGCGCAAGCCUGACCCAGCAACGCCGCGUGAAGGAAGAAGGCUCUCGGGUUGUAAACUUCUUUUAUCAGGGACGAAGCAAGUGACGGUACCUGAUGAAUAAGCCACGGCUAACUAUGUGCCAGCAGCCGCGGUAAUACGGAGGUGGCAAGCGUUAUCCGGAUUUACUGGGUGUAAAGGGCGUGUAGGCGGGAAAGCAAGUCAGCGGUGAAAACCAUGGGCUCAACCUGUGGACUGCAUUUGAAACUGGUUGUCUUGAGUACUGGAGAGGCAGACGGAAUUCCUGGUGUAGCGGUGAAAUGCGUAGAUAGUAGGAGGAACACCGAUGGCGAAGGCAGUCUGCUGGACAGCAACUGACGCUGAGGCGCGAAAGCGUGGGGAGCAAACAGGAUUAGAUACCCCAGUAGUC
RNAcentral lists this ribosomal RNA (443 nucleotides) under uncultured bacterium. RNAcentral describes it as "partial 16S ribosomal RNA". It matches the Rfam family "Bacterial small subunit ribosomal RNA", at positions 338 to 795 of the family's 1533-position model. The record is from RNAcentral.